This 521-nucleotide ribosomal RNA is filed under the name Scylla serrata (giant mud crab). RNAcentral describes it as "partial large subunit ribosomal RNA". It matches the Rfam family "Bacterial large subunit ribosomal RNA", at positions 1844 to 2610 of the family's 2925-position model. Lineage: Eukaryota; Metazoa; Arthropoda; Malacostraca; Decapoda; Portunidae. The record is from RNAcentral. RNAcentral also lists the same sequence under 1 other name.
UAUACAUAGUCUAGCCUGUUCACUGACAAAAAUGUUAAAUAGCCGCGGUAUUUUGACCGUGCAAAGGUAGCAUAAUCAUUAGUUUUUUAAUUGAAAACUUGUAUGAAUGGUUGGACAAAGAAAAAGCUGUCUCUUUUAUUAGGAUUGAAAUUAACCUCUAAGUGAAAAGGCUUAGAUUUUCUAGAGGGACGAUAAGACCCUAUAAAGCUUUAUAAGUUGAAUGAGUUAAAUGAAUUUUUUAGAAUAAAAGUAAACUUAGAAGAUUUAUUUGGUUGGGACGACAAAGGUAUAAUAUUGAAUAACUGCUAUCAGAGCUAAACAAUUAUAUUUGAUUAGAGUUAUAAUUGAUCCUUAUUAUGGAUUAAGAGAUCAAGUUACAUUAGGGAUAACAGCGUAAUUUCUUUUGAGAGUUCUUAUCAAAGAAGAAGUUUGCGACCUCGAUGUUGAAUUAAAAUGUCUUUAUAGUGCAGAAGCUAUAGAAGAAGGUCUGUUCGACCUUUAAUUUUUUACAUGAUUUGAGU